CCCGGUUUGUCACCGGCAGUCACCUUAGAGUGCCCAACUGAAUGCUGGCAACUAAGGUCAAGGGUUGCGCUCGUUACGGGACUUAACCCAACAUCUCACGACACGAGCUGACGACAACCAUGCACCACCUGUCACUCUGUCCCCCGAAGGGGAACCUUCUAUCUCUAGAAGUAGCAGAGGAUGUCAAGACCUGGUAAGGUUCUUCGCGUUGCUUCGAAUUAAACCACAUGCUCCACCGCUUGUGCGGGCCCCCGUCAAUUCCUUUGAGUUUCAACCUUGCGGUCGUACUCCCCAGGCGGAGUGCUUAAUGUGUUGACUUCGGCACUAAGGGCGUCGAAACCCCUAACACCUAGCACUCAACGUUUACGGCGUGGACUAC
RNAcentral lists this unclassified non-coding RNA (379 nucleotides) under Alteribacillus persepolensis. Its description in RNAcentral is "contains 16S-23S intergenic spacer region". The record is from RNAcentral. Lineage: Bacteria; Bacillati; Bacillota; Bacilli; Caryophanales; Bacillaceae.